UACGUAGGGUGCGAGCGUUAAUCGGAAUUACUGGGCGUAAAGAGCGCGCAGGCGGUCGUUCAAGUCGCGUGUGAAAGCCCCCGGCUCAACUGGGGAGGGUCACGCGAUACUGAUCGACUCGAAGGCAGGAGAGGGUAGUGGAAUUCCCGGUGUAGUGGUGAAAUGCGUAGAUAUCGGGAGGAACACCAGUGGCGAAGGCGACUACCUGGCCUGUUUCUUGACGCUGAGGCGCGAAAGCUAGGGGAGCAAACAGG
RNAcentral lists this ribosomal RNA (254 nucleotides) under uncultured bacterium. Its description in RNAcentral is "partial 16S ribosomal RNA". It matches the Rfam family "Bacterial small subunit ribosomal RNA", at positions 524 to 776 of the family's 1533-position model. The record is from RNAcentral.